GACGAACGCUGGCGGCGUGCUUAACACAUGCAAGUCGAACGGAAAGGCCCUGCUUGCAGGGUACUCGAGUGGCGAACGGGUAAGUAACACGUGGGUGAUCUGCCCUGCACUUCGGGAUAAGCUUGGGAAACUGGGUCUAAUACCGGAUAGGAGCCAUCUUUAGUGUGGUGGUUGGAAAGUUUUUUCGGUGUAGGAUGAGCUCGCGGCCUAUCAGCUUGUUGGUGGGGUAAUGGCCUACCAAGGCGGCGACGGGUAGCCGGCCUGAGAGGGUGUACGGCCACAUUGGGACUGAGAUACGGCCCAGACUCCUACGGGAGGCAGCAGUGGGGAAUAUUGCACAAUGGGCGCAAGCCUGAUGCAGCGACGCCGCGUGGGGGAUGAAGGCCUUCGGGUUGUAAACUCCUUUCGCUAGGGACGAAGCUUUUUUGUGACGGUACCUAGAUAAGAAGCACCGGCUAACUACGUG
Molecule: ribosomal RNA, 466 nt
Filed under: uncultured bacterium
Lineage: Bacteria
Description: partial 16S ribosomal RNA
Rfam family: Bacterial small subunit ribosomal RNA
Source: RNAcentral